RNAcentral lists this ribosomal RNA (338 nucleotides) under Sphingobium sp. Its description in RNAcentral is "bacterial SSU rRNA". It matches the Rfam family "Bacterial small subunit ribosomal RNA", at positions 1 to 365 of the family's 1533-position model. The record is from RNAcentral. Lineage: Bacteria; Pseudomonadati; Pseudomonadota; Alphaproteobacteria; Sphingomonadales; Sphingobiaceae.
UCAAACUUGAGAGUUUGAUCCUGGCUCAGAACGAACGCUGGCGGCAUGCCUAAUACAUGCAAGUCGAACGAGAUCUUCGGAUCUAGUGGCGCACGGGUGCGUAACGCGUGGGAAUCUGCCCUUGGGUUCGGAAUAACGUCGGGAAACUGACGCUAAUACCGGAUGAUGACGUAAGUCCAAAGAUUUAUCGCCCAGGGAUGAGCCCGCGUAGGAUUAGCUAGUUGGUGGGGUAAAGGCCUACCAAGGCGACGAUCCUUAGCUGGUCUGAGAGGAUGAUCAGCCACACUGGGACUGAGACACGGCCCAGACUCCUACGGGAGGCAGCAGUAGGGAAUAUU